GGGUUGUGAGGUUAAGCGACUAAGCGUACACGGUGGAUGCCCUGGCAGUCAGAGGCGAUGAAGGACGUGCUAAUCUGCGAUAAGCGUCGGUAAGGUGAUAUGAACCGUUAUAACCGGCGAUUUCCGAAUGGGGAAACCCAGUGUGAUUCGUCACACUAUCGUUAACUGAAUACAUAGGUUAACGAAGCGAACCGGGGGAACUGAAACAUCUAAGUACCCCGAGGAAAAGAAAUCAACCGAGAUUCCCCCAGUAGCGGCGAGCGAACGGGGAGGAGCCCAGAGCCUGAAUCAGCAUGUGUGUUAGUGGAAGCGUCUGGAAAGGCGCGCGAUACAGGGUGACAGCCCCGUACACAAAAGCGCAUGUGCUGUGAGCUCGAUGAGUAGGGCGGGAGACGUGGUAUCCUGUCUGAAUAUGGGGGGACCAUCCUCCAAGGCUAAAUACUCCUGACUGACCGAUAGUGAACCAGUACCGUGAGGGAAAGGCGAAAAGAACCCCGGCGAGGGGAGUGAAAAAGAACCUGAAACCGUGUACGUACAAGCAGUGGGAGCCCCACCACCAAAGCAUUCUCUGGUGUUGAAGGCCCUGCAAAGCAGCAUCGCGGUGGCGGAGCGUCGUUUGCGACGCCCAACACACAAAACAAGCGGUGAGUGCUUUGGGGUGGGGUGACUGCGUACCUUUUGUAUAAUGGGUCAGCGACUUAUAUUCUGUAGCAAGGUUAACCGUAUAGGGGAGCCGAAGGGAAACCGAGUCUUAACUGGGCGUUAAGUUGCAGGGUAUAGACCCGAAACCCGGUGAUCUAGCCAUGGGCAGGUUGAAGGUUGGGUAACACUAACUGGAGGACCGAACCGACUAAUGUUGAAAAAUUAGCGGAUGACUUGUGGCUGGGGGUGAAAGGCCAAUCAAACCGGGAGAUAGCUGGUUCUCCCCGAAAGCUAUUUAGGUAGCGCCUCGUGAACUCAUCUUCGGGGGUAGAGCACUGUUUCGGCUAGGGGGUCAUCCCGACUUACCAACCCGAUGCAAACUGCGAAUACCGAAGAAUGUUAUCACGGGAGACACACGGCGGGUGCUAACGUCCGUCGUGAAGAGGGAAACAACCCAGACCGCCAGCUAAGGUCCCAAAGUCACAGUUAAGUGGGAAACGAUGUGGGAAGGCUCAGACAGCCAGGAUGUUGGCUUAGAAGCAGCCAUCAUUUAAAGAAAGCGUAAUAGCUCACUGGUCGAGUCGGCCUGCGCGGAAGAUGUAACGGGGCUAAACUGUGCACCGAAGCUGCGGCAGCGACGCUUAUGCGUUGUUGGGUAGGGGAGCGUUCUGUAAGCCUGCGAAGGUGUCCUGUGAGGGAUGCUGGAGGUAUCAGAAGUGCGAAUGCUGACAUAAGUAACGAUAAUGCGGGUGAAAAGCCCGCUCGCCGGAAGACCAAGGGUUCCUGUCCAACGUUAAUCGGGGCAGGGUGAGUCGACCCCUAAGGCGAGGCCGAAAGGCGUAGUCGAUGGGAAACGGGUUAAUAUUCCCGUACUUGGUGUUACUGCGAAGGGGGGACGGAGAAGGCUAUGUUGGCCGGGCGACGGUUGUCCCGGUUUAAGCGUGUAGGCUGGUUUUCCAGGCAAAUCCGGAAAAUCAAG
This 1621-nucleotide ribosomal RNA is filed under the name Salmonella enterica subsp. enterica serovar Kentucky. RNAcentral's name for it is "partial 23S ribosomal RNA". It matches the Rfam family "Bacterial large subunit ribosomal RNA", at positions 1 to 1554 of the family's 2925-position model. The record is from RNAcentral. Lineage: Bacteria; Pseudomonadati; Pseudomonadota; Gammaproteobacteria; Enterobacterales; Enterobacteriaceae.